GGCUCACUUUCAGCUGGAGUCUCAACAACAACCAGAUCAGAUCAACGAUAGCACACCCAGGAUAGUCAACCCAGGACAGCAGUUUCCUCUAGUAUCUGGCCCAUGAGACACCUCGCCUCUCUGCAAUAUGAAGUACCUGGUUCUGGGACUCGGCACACUGGCCUUGCUGGCAUCCAGCAUGGCACAGAAUUCUACAAUAGGACCAACAACCGACCAACAGAAUUCUACAAUAGGACCAACAACUGACCAACAGAAUUCUACAACAGGACCAACAACCGACCAACAGAAUUCUACAAUAGGACCAGCAACCGCCACAACUGCCACAACCGCCACAUGGCCAUCCACAGCAAAUUCUACAAUAGGACCAACAACCGACCAACAGAAUUCUACAAUCGCCACAUUGCCAACCACUCUCACCACACCAGCAGGAGGCAGCUAUGUCUUCAGUUACUCCAUGACUUUACUGUUUGGUUCGACAGCCAGCCUAAUCAUGCAUUCACUAUUACAUUGAGCGCCACAUAGAGGGCAAGAGUCACAUUGACUGCACUUUCCUGAGAGUGUUAAAGGCAUACUUUGGGAUUUUGGUAAUGAGGCCCGGUACCUACUUUCCCAGAGUCAGAUGAACUCAUGGAUACCAGUUUUAAGUCUCUGCGUGCGGUUUGAAUAAAGUUGCUAACUUGCGCAAUUGUUAACUUCCUUUCAGCUCAAUGACUGCUAACGCUAGUUGUUAACUAGCGCUAGCACAAUUGCUAAUUAGCGUUAGCGCAAUGACAUGAACACUAGUUAGCAUUGGCCUCGCAAAACUACCUCUAACUUCCUUCAUACUGGACUCAAAGACAUACAAAUGGUAUCCACGAGUUCAUCUGAUUCUGGGAAAGAUGAUAAAGGACACCAUUGCCAAAUCCUAAAGUAUCCCUUUAAAAACCGAAUAAGAGCGUAGGAGAACGAUCUUUUUCUCUGACAAUUUGUGUGUUUUACAAUGACCUGAUGGAGGUUUAUGUGUGCUCUGUGUAUUUCAAAAUGUAGAAUUAAAACACUGGUUGAUAGGGUUGCAAUGCCAAAAAUUGGUGUAUAUUAAUGUUUUAUAUUCAAUCAAGCGGUAAGUUCCUUGAUAUAGGUCUUUAUACAAAUGGUAAAUUAUUUAAUUUCUCAUUGUACAAAUGUUGAAAUGUACCCAAAUAAAAUAUUUUUUUUGUAUU
Salvelinus sp. IW2-2015 is the source of this 1199-nucleotide long non-coding RNA. RefSeq lists it as uncharacterized. The record is from RefSeq and is a predicted model, not a curated record. Lineage: Eukaryota; Metazoa; Chordata; Actinopteri; Salmoniformes; Salmonidae.